Molecule: long non-coding RNA, 552 nt
Organism: Triticum dicoccoides
Lineage: Eukaryota; Viridiplantae; Streptophyta; Magnoliopsida; Poales; Poaceae
Exons: 2
Source: RefSeq, a predicted model, not a curated record
GUCUCAAAGUAUCUUUUUUGUUUGUACAAUACAUCGUCGCGUCAUCCAGAUAAGUAUAACACUUUCUGUAAGGUUCCAUCAUCCAUUUCUAAGAAGAGAUGUAUUAAGAAAGGAUCAACAUCACCAGUAAGUUAACCAAUUUGGAUUUCCUCCCUUCCUUGGUUUCGUGGGUGUUUACUCCUGGAGAUAUGGAGGUACUGAUGGCUUGUGCAUAUUCUUACUCAUGGCACUCCCGUUGCUUCCUGGAUCUGAAGGCACUUGCUGGAACUGGAGUGGGAUGUACACCUAUGGUAAUUGCAUGCACGAAACAUGCGACGAGCGUUGCCAGAAUGAGGGAUUCACUACAGGGAGGUGUGAGCUCUAUGAUAUUGAGUACACAAUGUACUCGUGUUGUUGUCAGAAACAAAGGUGAUGAUGCUUCAGGAUGUGAAGCAACAUGUAAUAAGAUCUUAAGGCGGUGUGCCUGUAACAUACCAAAAUUUUCGAAUUUUGGAAUGUUAAAUAAAAUUAAAUAAUUGAAUAAAACGAUCUGAGUAUCAAACAGAUUUAUCA